AGGUGCCUCCCGUCUCUCUAUCCUCGUCCUUUCAGGUUUAGGACCUGCUGGCAGGAUCCUGACGUCGCAGCUCACAACACUGCAGAAGGGCCACUUUUCUCACAGGACAAGACAGACACCCCAGCAGAAACAAGGCACACAGCAGGUUUAGGACCUGCUGGCAGGAUCCUGAAGUCGCGGCUCGCAACAAGUGGCGCCCGAACAGGGACCUGAAAGUAGAUGGGGAUAUGUAAUCCCGGACUCGGGUCGAAGGCAGCGACGGUGCUCCGGAGGACUGACCGCUGCGCCUGAUCCUCGCAAAUGCUGAUCAAUAGCAGCUCGCGACAACCCUCCAGCUAACACUCCAUCUUAACUAAUUAUAUCUACAACGAUCCCAUUUCCAACGGUCCCAUUCUGAGACACGGGAAGUGACGACUUCAACAUGAUUCGGGGAGACAUAAUUCAACCCAUUACAUCUGGAUCCUUACUCGGAGACGGUUAAAGGAGAAAGCAGAAGCAGGCUCUCAGUGGAAAGUAUCCUGGGACACAGCAUAGGAUGAGCAUCACUCACUAUGCACCUGACAGGUUCCAUUCUGAGGCCAUGGGGAAGGAUCCAGGACUCUUUCUGUCCUACAGGUGGCCACCUUUUCCCUGAGUCCUCUCUUCGCCAUUCUGCUGCCUGUCUGUAUCCACAUUUCCUCUUCUAAAUCAGCCACACUGGUUUAGAGCCCACCUAAUGACCUAAUUUUAAUUUAAUUACCUCCACAAAACUCCACCUCCACACCAGGUCACUUUCUGAGGUGCUGAGAGCUGGACUUCAACACUGGGACCUCAGAGAGAGGGCAUAAUUCAACCCAACACGGUGGUGUUUUUGCACAGCUGAAGUGCAAGAUCACUGCUCACCAUAGCUUCAUCCCACAGUGCUCUGACAGAUUGUUUUCCUAGGCCAAACACACAUCAGCUGUCACCAUCUCAUUCCAAGAAAAGGCAGAAGAGCCUAAGGAAGGAGGAAGCUUCCUGAUUUCUAGGAGCAUUUCCCAUGUGGAGCCAAGCAUUACGAGCCCUGGUAACAGCAGGAUUCUUAUUAAGGCUUGGGAAGGACAGUGGCACGAAUUCUACACCGGCUGCCCCACAAUGUCCGUGCGAAGAUGGUGAAGACGGUCACCUCAUGGACACCCUGAAGAAGACGACCAUGUAACAAUGUUGGUGCAGAUGACUGGUGAUGGUUCAUCUUCACCAGCCACUCACCGGGCUGCAGGCAGACACUGUGCUACACGCUUUGUGCAUGUUAAAGCUUCGUUCAUAGCAAAUGCCACAUUGUUCCCAUUUUGAAGAGGAAAUUGAGGCAUUAGGGAAUUCUUCAACCCUGUCAAUGGCUACAGUUUAGAACAUUCUGGAAACUUUCCCAAGCACACUAAGCCACCUAAAGAUAGAAAAGAGGCUCAGAUUUGGACACUGUCUUUUUCCAUGGUUUACACUAUUGAUUCCUAGAAUGGAACAGGGACGAAAUUUAAAAUGAAAGUGGAGGGCCACAGAUUUAGCUCAGAGGUUCCACCACCUCACUCACAAGC
This is a long non-coding RNA of Fukomys damarensis (Damara mole-rat), 1550 nucleotides long. RefSeq lists it as uncharacterized. The record is from RefSeq and is a predicted model, not a curated record. Lineage: Eukaryota; Metazoa; Chordata; Mammalia; Rodentia; Bathyergidae. The transcript is spliced from 4 exons.